Mus musculus (house mouse) is the source of this 4222-nucleotide long non-coding RNA. RefSeq annotates it as predicted gene 16214. Lineage: Eukaryota; Metazoa; Chordata; Mammalia; Rodentia; Muridae. The record is from RefSeq and is marked validated. The transcript is spliced from 5 exons.
ACACACGCGUGCAUGCACACCUCACGAGCAGAGCCUCUUUCUUCCCUCUUUAGAUGAAAACUGAAGGUGAGGCAGGCUUCAAGUGUGUGGAGUUUUCUCCUCAGGUGGUGAGCCAAGAACGGUGCCUCUCAACCCUAUAGUUCAAAACAGGCAACCCAGCAGUGUGUCAACAGAGGUAGAUGCAUUUGCUCCCUAGGGUGAGAACGACUGGAAGGUUAUAUAGAUGGCACACAGCAUCAGUCAGCAGGGAGAGAAGCAAGGGAUGAAGAUGCGAAACUGAAACAAGGCCACAGGCCCUGAAAAGGAAAGAGAUUCACUCAGAGGAGGAGACCUCAACCUCCAACCUUUUGAAACGUAAGCAGUGGUAGAAGCCUACAUCUCUCCAUGAAGGAUGCAAACAAGUCUGUGCAGAUUUGAAGGCACGGCGUUUUUAAGGCCUCUGGCCAACUGCAACAGCCCAACAGGCCUCAGCUCUCCGCCUAGCCACGUGCUUCCCCGUCUCUGGCAGACUGCGCGUGAGGACUCGCCUUAAAGACAGCGAUGGCAUAGGGGUGUGGGAGGCUGUCAAGGAUGACUGAACGCUGCUGGCCACUGAAAGUGAUGCGCUCGAUACAGUCCAGAUGUGAGACAUCUGGAGACCAUAAGAGAGUCGGAUGCUUUCUAAUGAAACACACAGAGUUAUCGGACCACGACAAGCAAGCUAUGGCUUCAAGAGCCUCAGUCAACAGGUUAUCUCCCCCAUGAUCACCAGAAGCAGAAACCUGGCCUCACAUUUUCACUUUCAUGAGCAUCUCUUACAGCAGUGGGCGUGACGCUGACUCCCCGUAAGGAACACUUACCCUUCUUGGGGUACAAGGACUAAAGCCCUGGGUCGAUCAAGCACAGAGGAAUUGACGAUUGUCAGUCGGAAGUCACCAUCUGGAUUAGCUACCUGACAAAACAAAGGGGGUGGGGGAAGGAGAGAGAUCUAAAUUCCUUACAAAGCCCACAAAACCAAAGCCCUCCAGGGGCCCUGCCUCUGGCACACUCUCCACACCUGCCCUCUACUCCCGGGUCUCAUUCUAGAACCACUGGGGAGCCCGCCUUGAUUCCCAAUCAGAAGGCACUCAUCGUGUCCCUGGCUGAGAUAAUUCCCACGUGGGCCGAAGGAGCAGCUAGAGCUGUGUGCUCUCUGACGCCAACCCCGGAGCAUGACAACUUGCGCAAAGGUGACUGUUGUGGUCCCUUGGAGUCCAAGAACGCUUCAGUGCUUGCAUACAACCCUCACACAGCUUCCUGCCUGUUCUAAGCCACCCCUAGAUCACCUGUAAUUCCCACGACAGUGCUGGUGCUAAGUAGUAGGGACGCCUGCUCACUAGAUAAAUGAUCUACCACCGAGCUGCACUCCCAGGUUCACUUGGGGAUGGAGAGACGGCUCAGCAGUUUAAAGUACUUCCUGCUCUUGCAGAAGAAAGUUCAGUUCUCAGCACCCACAUGGCAGCCAGCCAAGCAUGUGUCGCACAGUUCCAAAGGACACUUCUCUUGGCCUCCCCUGGCACCACGCAUGUACAUGGCACACAGACAGACAGACAUGCUGACAAAGCACCCAUCAUAAUAAAGUAAAAUAAAAAAAAAUAAACCUUUAAAAUGCAUAUAUUUGAACACAGGACUAUACAGUUAGUAUCUAGCCUAUCUAGAGGUCUUUAAAAACUAUAGCCUUAACCUGUUAUGUGUAUGUUUAUGUACGGCUGUGUGUAUGCAAUUAUGUAUAUGUGUGUGUGGCUGUCAUUGUUGUGUGAUUGUUCUAUUUUUGUGUCCUGAUCAUUGAGCCUGGGGCUUUAUGUACACUAGGCAAAUGUUGAUCCACACAGCUUUAUCUGCCCUGAGUAUCUGGGCUGAAUAAAUUCUCCCGUCCUAGCCUCCCGCCAUGCCCAGGCACUUCAUGGUUCUUUUCAGAGUCCAGGAGAGCUAGAGUGGGUAAUUAUGUGGACUGAAGAUAACUGGAAUGUCACUACACUUUGACAGGGAAGGGAAGAGGCUAACAAGGAAGGUGGCAACUGACAAUCACAUUACCAUCCCCAGCAUCUUUCUAGCAGGAAACUAAGACCUUAGAUGCAGUCAAAGAUUCAGAUUUGGGACAUUCUUUAUCUUUCUCAUAAGGAGCAGAGAUAGGCAGGGAAAAAACUGCAACAACAGAAAACUGCAGUUUCGUGUAACAGCCCAGAGAUGGGUUACCAUGUGCAAACCUCUGCCUGCUCACCUUGCUUGAAGCCUGUCAGGACUGGGCAGUCAAAAACCACAGCCUCCAGACUUAACCAAGGGCUUAAGGACUCACCUGGAUGGUGUCCAGCGCCAGGUCAGACCAAUACAAGCAGUUGCGUUCAUAGUCAAAGUCCAGGGCCACAGCCGCCCGCAGCCCCGAGAGAGGAAGCUGCUCUGUGGCUCCCGAGGCCAAGUCGUAGCGGUAGAUGGACUUGCGCAUGGCGUAUAGGAUGAACUCAUUCUCUUCUGCAGACAUAAAGCAAGCAGGAUUGCCAGGGAUGCUGAGGAUGGCCAAGCAGGCCUGGCCUCCAUCCUUCUCACACACAAACCCCAACCCAUAUUGUCACAAGGGUAGAUCAAGUGUCAGAGACUAGGAAUCUAGACUUAGGACACAGAAGAAAAUCACAUGUCUAACCCAGCAAUUGUAUUUCUUUAUGUUUUGUUACACUGUAAAAACAGCAACUAACAACAUUUCAACAUCUAUAUUUCUGAGUUCUGCCUUCAGUCACACCUGUCAACGUAAGUGACAGGCCAGUCACUCCACAUCCUAUCAUGUGACUGCUCCAUCGCGCCAUUACCUUGGUGACUACUUGGGGACUACUAAAGCCUUCCAACCAAGUUCCCCACGCAGGAUGCUCACUCAUACAUUACUAUCCCCAAUGACCUGUGAUGCUUUCGGUCGGCCUGAUAAGUUUCCAAAGCAACAACAUAUGUUGUUGAGCGAUUACAGAACGUCCGACAGAGCAAUUACUGUUCCGUUUCUGCUGAACAAAUGUUUACUUCCUAUGCACCAGGCAUGGUUUAAUCCUCAAAACACCCCUGAGAUAGAAGAAUGAAUAUUAAUUUGCUUAAGGACACACAGCUAGGAAGCAAGUAGCCCAGAUGCAGAGCCCGGGCUUUAGCCUUUAUACCACGCUGCCUUUAACGGUGUGGAUGCUCACGAUGCCACUCUUCAAGGCACAUAGAGGAUCAAAGUGCUUUAGAAUUUUACCUAAUGGUGGACAGCCAGUGAUUUAAGGCCUAACACCCUCUCUUUGUACUUAGAAAAUAGCGCAGAAGUCAUCACGGCUCUUCCUCAGGAGGGCAGAGGAGCAGUGAGCAUCUCUAGCUAUAGCACCCAUGGAACCUCUGGGUAGUGGAACACACAGAGAUGCCUGAGGGUGGCGAGACUCGGAAGGAUGUGCAAGCUGCACGCCCUUCAGCAUCACUUACGCAUCACCGUCUACUGGCUGUUAGUCUGCAUCAUUUGCGAUACCUUGUGUAGCCAGCAGGUUUUAAAAGGAGCCAAUCUAGAUGCUGGGGAGAACAAAACCCACAGUGGUUUCAGAUGCUGCUUCUUGAGUGUGGGCCUGUCCAGAUGUUUGUGACUUGUGUCAUUUCUCCAAAUAGACUAACCAUAAGAAAAACUCUUUAUAAAAAUGUAAAGCAUCUACUGAUGCUAUGCUACAUGUGGGAUCAAGAUGCAAACACAAAUCCUUUGCUUCAUGCUUGAAUUGGUUGCUGCGAUUUUGAUUUUUUUUUUUUUGGUUUGUUUGCUUGUUAUGUUUGUUUUCCCCUAUCUUUCCCUCAUCCUGUUAAUUCACUUAAUUCACAUAUGCAUAUAACCUGCUUUAUAAGAACCUCAAUACUGGGCUGGCAAGAUGACUCAGCAGGUAAAGGUACUUGCUGCCAAGUCUGCAGAACUGUGUUCAAUCUCUAGGAACCUACUCAGUGGAAGAAGAGAAUCAACUCCCAGAAGUUGUCCUCUGACUUCUCCAUCUCCACUCUGCUAUACAAAUGCAGUUCCCUUCCCCCACUCUGACACAUACACACAAAUAAAUGUGAUUUUUUUUAAAAAGUCUCCAAUACUGACAACACAUUGAAAACAAACCCUCUAAGUCAGGGUAGGCAAAACACUUAUUUACUGUGUGGGAUGUUCUGGACCUCGUCCCUAGCAUGGCUCCUUGAAAGCUUUAAAUAAUAAAUCUGUAAAAAUCUUAAA